CGCGUAGGCGGUUUGAAUCGUCGGAUGUGAAAGGCCUGGGCUCAACCUGGGAACGGCAUCCGAUACGGUCAGACUUGAGUGUGGGAGAGGUUGGUGGAAUUCCCAGUGUAGAGGUGAAAUUCGUAGAUAUUGGGAAGAACACCGGUGGCGAAGGCGGCCAACUGGACCACAACUGACGCUGAGGCGCGAAAGCGUGGGGAGCAAAACA
Molecule: ribosomal RNA, 208 nt
Filed under: uncultured bacterium
Lineage: Bacteria
Description: partial 16S ribosomal RNA
Rfam family: Bacterial small subunit ribosomal RNA
Source: RNAcentral